Molecule: long non-coding RNA, 1411 nt
Filed under: Marmota monax (woodchuck)
Lineage: Eukaryota; Metazoa; Chordata; Mammalia; Rodentia; Sciuridae
Source: RNAcentral
GUCAAAGAUAAAUAUGAAACUGAUCUCUAUUCUUAUUGAAGAGUGAGGGUAGGGGAAGAAGAUGAGCCAUUUGAAUGGGCAGUAGUGUGACAUUACGACAUCUAGAGCCUAGUGAAUAGAGACAGUGAAGCAGCAGUGAAAAGCUGUGCUCAAGUCGAAGCACAAAAUCAUGUACAUGAGCUUUAUUUCUUUUUGGUACUUUUUUCAAACAAGUAUGGGUCUCAAAGUUAUAACCUAUGAUACAUUUGAAGGAAUAUUAGAGGGUAAAUGGAACUGCUUUGUCUCCUAAUUAUGCAGUGAUCAUCCAUGGCUCUUUGGAGAUCAGUAGACAUUGUGUGCCUUCUGAUGGAAAUAUACCCACUGCUGAAGUAGACCCUUAAAAAGAAAAAGAAAAAUCUUACAUGUGGACUUUUGUUGCAAAUUGCCAUUAUAUUUGCUUUUCUGAAUAUUUUUUAAAAGGAAAAAGAAGGAGGAGGAAAAGAGAAAGAAAGAAAAGAAAGUAAACAAAAAGAAAAAAGCAACUGAAUGUGAUCUUUUUUUUUUUUUCUUAGUUUGCAAGAAAUCCAGAAGCACAGGGCAAAGAAACAUGUUAAAGAUGGAUGCAGUCAGCAAAUUCCAGACUGUUGGUAAACCUGCAAGACAAAUGACCCAAUUUCUUUUCCAAGAAAAAAAAAAAGCAAAAAGAUAAAAAAGAAAUAGAGAAACUUAUAUAUUCCAAGAGAUACAGAAAUCAAUUUUAUGGUUUGGAUCUUACUUGGAUCCUGACACAAUUUUUUAAAAAGUUGUGAGAGAAGGAAAUUGUAGAUACUGAUAAGAUCUUUAAAGACAUUAAAAAAUUAUUGUUGAUUUUUAACUAAGUGUGAUAUGCUAUAUGCAGAGAUAUUUUUGGAGGAAAUGUCUGAAAUUUACUUCCAAAUAAUCCAGGCAAAGGCCAGAGGGAUCUGUGUGAAACAAGAUUGACCAUACACUCUGAUUUGUUGAUGCUUGUGACAAGCACAUAAGAGUUCAUUAUGAUAAUCUCUGUUCUUCUGUACUAGUUAAGGUUUAUAUGUGAGGUGUCCCCUAAAAGCUCACGUGUGAGACAAUGCAAGAAGGUUCAGAGAGAAAUGAUUGGGUUUUAAGAGUCUUAACCCAUCAGUGAUUUAAUCCCCUGAUGAGGAUUAACUGAGUGGUAACUGAAGUGGUAGGGUGUGGCUGGAGGAGGUGGAAAUUGGGGCAUGGCUUUGGGUAUAUAUUUGUUAUCUGGAGAGUGGAAUCUCUGCUUUCUGAUCACAAUGUGAGCUGCUUCCCUCUGCCACUCUCCCACCAUGAUGUUCAGCUUCACCUCAAGCCACGAAGAAUGGAGCCUGCCUUCUAUGGACUAAGACCUCUGAAACCAUGAGCCCUCAAAUAAACUUUUCCUCCUCUACAA